UAACGAAUCUUCCGCAAUGCCCGCAAGGGUGACGGAGCGACGCCGCGUGGAGGACGAAGUCCUUCGGGAUGUAAACUCCUGUCAGGGGCUACCAAGUUCUGAGGGGCCCCAGAGGAAGGCACGGCUAACUCUGUGCCAGCAGCCGCGGUAAGACAGAGGUGCCGAGCGUUAGGCGGAAUCACUGGGCUUAAAGCGUGUGUAGGCGGGCCGUUAAGUGCCCCGUGAAAUCCCCCGGCUCAACCGGGGAACGGCGGGGCAUACUGGCGGCCUUGAGCCACUUAAGGGCAGACGGAACAAGCGGUGGAGCGGUGAAAUGCGUAGAUAUCGCUUGGAACGCCGACGGCGAAAGCAGUCUGCUGGGGGUGUGCUGACGCUGAGACACGAAAGCCAGGGGAGCGAACGGGAUUAGAUACCCGCGUAGUCC
RNAcentral lists this ribosomal RNA (424 nucleotides) under uncultured bacterium. Its description in RNAcentral is "bacterial SSU rRNA". It matches the Rfam family "Bacterial small subunit ribosomal RNA", at positions 355 to 796 of the family's 1533-position model. The record is from RNAcentral.